This 490-nucleotide ribosomal RNA is filed under the name uncultured bacterium. Its description in RNAcentral is "partial 16S ribosomal RNA". It matches the Rfam family "Bacterial small subunit ribosomal RNA", at positions 30 to 507 of the family's 1533-position model. The record is from RNAcentral.
AUUGAACGCUGGCGGCAGGCCUAACACAUGCAAGUCGAACGGUAACAGGAAACAGCUUGCUGUUUCGCUGACGAGUGGCGGACGGGUGAGUAAUGUCUGGGAAACUGCCUGAUGGAGGGGGAUAACUACUGGAAACGGUAGCUAAUACCGCAUAACGUCGCAAGACCAAAGAGGGGGACCUUCGGGCCUGUUGCCAUCGGAUGUGCCCAGAUGGGAUUAGCUAGUAGGUGGGGUAACGGCUCACCUAGGCGACGAUCCCUAGCUGGUCUGAGAGGAUGACCAGCCACACUGGAACUGAGACACGGUCCAGACUCCUACGGGAGGCAGCAGUGGGGAAUAUUGCACAAUGGGCGCAAGCCUGAUGCAGCCAUGCCGCGUGUAUGAAGAAGGCCUUCGGGUUGUAAAGUACUUUCAGCGGGGAGGAAGGGAGUAAAGUUAAUACCUUUACUCAUUGACGUUACCCGCAGAAGAAGCACCGGCUAACUCCGUG